This 1234-nucleotide long non-coding RNA is filed under the name Mytilus galloprovincialis (Mediterranean mussel). Lineage: Eukaryota; Metazoa; Mollusca; Bivalvia; Mytilida; Mytilidae. The record is from RNAcentral.
AAUUAGUAUACAUGUUUUUUAGCAGUAACUCUAAAUCAGUGAUGCGAUUAAAUUUUACGAUUUUCUUCAUUAUUUCGUUUCUGAUGUAAUAUUGUGUAAACCUACAUCUAAAUGUGCAACCUCCGUCGUACAAGGCUUAGUCUUACUUUAAACGAAAUGCAAACUCAAAAAUUUUGAAAUGCAAACUAAUGUGAAUGUACUCAAUGUAUACGUGAUAGUACGAGUAACAUGCAAACAAAGUAAAGAAACAGGCCGUACGGUGACCUAUAGUUGUUAAUUUCUGUGUCAUUUUGAUCUCUUGUGGAGAAUUUUCUCAUUGGCAAUCAUACCACAUCUUAUUUUUUAUAAUUCAUCACUCAAAACGAAACACUCCACAUCAUUUUCGGAGACAACAAGUGAAAAGGAAAGAAUAAUCAGUUUCAGACAUAUUCAAUUCUACGAGAUCAAGAAGUUUUUUUAAAUUUAUUUUUCAAUCUGAAGUUUGUACAAACGCUAUAGUUGAUAUGGUGUAGUUGAUUAUUAAAAGUCAAACUUCGCCAGGAAUCCUCACAGACAAGCCUGAUAAUGCCAGAGGACAAACUUCAAUUCUAAAAGCGUAAAUUUAUGACUUGGAUGAAAGGUUGCCAAAUUGACACUCAUACCACAUCUUAUAUUUAUGUGUAGGGUACUAUUGAUAAGGCUUGCAAGCACCAACUCAAACUACCGGUUAACCGGUUAAUCGGUCAAACGAUUAUCCGAGUAACCGCUUAGGCAAAAACGUACGAUUUGACAACACUAAUAUAUACAAAGAAUAAAGUGUAUUUUCAGAAUUCUAUCUGCUAUCAUUUUCAAGUUUACUAUCCACGGCGGUCACAGAGUUUAUUAAAUAGAGAGAGUCUGUAUACUAUAUCAAUGACCACCAUGGAUCGAUUAGUAAACUUAGAAAGUAAAUACACUAUAUUUGUAUAGUAAUGAAUGGUCAUAAUAUACAGAUAAGCGCUAAAAAUAUUCAUGUGACCUUUUGAUACCUUUUCUGAAAUUCUCCAGUCAUUAAAUCUUUUACAAAAUUCAUUGAUUACAAAAAAAAAAAGAUGUGUUUUGAUUGCCAUGUUGAGAUAACUCUCCACAAGAGACCAAUAUGACACAGAAAUUAACAACUGUAGGUCACCGUACGACCUUCAACAACGAGCAAAGCCCAUACCGCAUACUCAGCUUUAAAAGGCCCCGAACUGACAAUGUAAAGACGUUACGCGCG